UACGUAGGGGGCUAGCGUUGUCCGGAUUUAUUGGGCGUAAAGAGCGUGUAGGCGGCCAGGUAGGUCUGCUGUGAAAACUCGAGGCUCAACCUCGAGACGCCGAUGGAAACCAUUUGGCUAGAGUCCGGAAGAGGAGAGUGGAAUUCCUGGUGUAGCGGUGAAAUGCGUAGAUAUCGGGAGGAACACCAGUGGCGAAGGCGGCCGUCUGGACGGAUACUGACGCUGAGACGCGAAAGCGUGGGUAGCAAACAGG
RNAcentral lists this ribosomal RNA (253 nucleotides) under uncultured bacterium. RNAcentral describes it as "partial 16S ribosomal RNA". It matches the Rfam family "Bacterial small subunit ribosomal RNA", at positions 524 to 776 of the family's 1533-position model. The record is from RNAcentral.